UACGAAGGUCCCGAGCGUUAUCCGGACUUAUUGGGUUUAAAGGGUGCGUAGGCGGGUUAUUAAGUCAGUGGUGAAAGCCUUCAGCUUAACUGAAGAACUGCCAUUGAUACUGAUGAUCUUGAGUAUGAUUGAGGUGGGCGGAAUGUGUCAUGUAGCGGUGAAAUGCUUAGAUAUGACACAGAACACCAGUGGCGAAGGCGGCUCACUGGUCCGGUACUGACGCUGAGGCGCGAAAGCGUGGGGAGCGAUCCGG
RNAcentral lists this ribosomal RNA (253 nucleotides) under uncultured bacterium. Its description in RNAcentral is "partial 16S ribosomal RNA". It matches the Rfam family "Bacterial small subunit ribosomal RNA", at positions 524 to 776 of the family's 1533-position model. The record is from RNAcentral.